Molecule: microRNA, 24 nt
Filed under: Solanum tuberosum (potato)
Lineage: Eukaryota; Viridiplantae; Streptophyta; Magnoliopsida; Solanales; Solanaceae
Description: stu-miR8015-3p
Source: miRBase by way of RNAcentral
GUUUCAUUUUCAAGGUCCAAUAGC